GAACUUAAGCAUAUCAAUAAGCGGAGGAAAAGAAACCAACAGGGAUGCCCUUAGUAGCGGCGAGUGAAGCGGGCAAAGCUCAAAUUUGAAAUCUGGCGUGGGUCAUCUGCGUCCGAAUUGUAAUCUCAAGAAGUCACUCCGGCGAAGUCCCCAGCCCAAGUCCAUUGGAAUAUGGUGCACGAUAGGGUGAGAGCCCCGUUCACGGUUGGAGGGUCGGAACCAUGUGGAGGGCUUUCAAAGAGUCGAGUUGUUUGGGAAUGCAGCUCAAAAUGGGUGGUAAAUUCCAUCUAAAGCUAAAUAUUGGCAAGAGACCGAUAGCGCACAAGUAGAGUGAUCGAAAGGUGAAAAGGACUUUGGAAAGAGAGUCAAACAGUACGUGAAAUUGUUCAUAGGGAAGCGCUCAAGACCAGAUUCGCAGGUGUCAGAUCAUGUGUCCUUCGGGGUACUGCACUCUGGUGUCUCUUUUCGCGGGCUAGCAUCGGUUCUGUCGGUUGGAGAAAGCCUUCGGGAAUGUGGCUCUGUUCCUUGUGGAUAGAGUGUUUAUAGACCUUAGGUUAUACAGCCAGAUGGGAUCGAGGACUGCGUCUUUAAUUAGACUCGGAUGCUGGCGUAAUGGUCUUUAGCGACCCGUCUUGAAACACGGACCAAGGAGUCUAACAUCUGUGCGAGUGCUAGGGUGGAAAACCCGAGCGCGUAAUGAAAGUGAAUGUAGAUGGGAAUCCCUUCGAGGGACGCACCAUCGACCGAUUCCAAAGAUUCGUUCGGCGGGAUUUGAGUAAGAGCAUAGCCGUUAGGACCCGAAA
This 803-nucleotide ribosomal RNA is filed under the name uncultured fungus. RNAcentral's name for it is "eukaryotic LSU rRNA". It matches the Rfam family "Eukaryotic large subunit ribosomal RNA", at positions 30 to 821 of the family's 3401-position model. Lineage: Eukaryota; Fungi. The record is from RNAcentral.